RNAcentral lists this ribosomal RNA (1417 nucleotides) under Staphylococcus aureus. Its description in RNAcentral is "partial 23S ribosomal RNA". It matches the Rfam family "Bacterial large subunit ribosomal RNA", at positions 1381 to 2793 of the family's 2925-position model. Lineage: Bacteria; Bacillati; Bacillota; Bacilli; Caryophanales; Staphylococcaceae. The record is from RNAcentral.
UAGUCGGGUCCUAAGCUGAGGCCGACAGGCGUAGGCGAUGGAUAACAGGUUGAUAUUCCUGUACCACCUAUAAUCGUUUUAAUCGAUGGGGGGACGCAGUAGGAUAGGCGAAGCGUGCGAUUGGAUUGCACGUCUAAGCAGUAAGGCUGAGUAUUAGGCAAAUCCGGUACUCGUUAAGGCUGAGCUGUGAUGGGGAGAAGACAUUGUGUCUUCGAGUCGUUGAUUUCACACUGCCGAGAAAAGCCUCUAGAUAGAAAAUAGGUGCCCGUACCGCAAACCGACACAGGUAGUCAAGAUGAGAAUUCUAAGGUGAGCGAGCGAACUCUCGUUAAGGAACUCGGCAAAAUGACCCCGUAACUUCGGGAGAAGGGGUGCUCUUUAGGGUUAACGCCCAGAAGAGCCGCAGUGAAUAGGCCCAAGCGACUGUUUAUCAAAAACACAGGUCUCUGCUAAACCGUAAGGUGAUGUAUAGGGGCUGACGCCUGCCCGGUGCUGGAAGGUUAAGAGGAGUGGUUAGCUUCUGCGAAGCUACGAAUCGAAGCCCCAGUAAACGGCGGCCGUAACUAUAACGGUCCUAAGGUAGCGAAAUUCCUUGUCGGGUAAGUUCCGACCCGCACGAAAGGCGUAACGAUUUGGGCACUGUCUCAACGAGAGACUCGGUGAAAUCAUAGUACCUGUGAAGAUGCAGGUUACCCGCGACAGGACGGAAAGACCCCGUGGAGCUUUACUGUAGCCUGAUAUUGAAAUUCGGCACAGCUUGUACAGGAUAGGUAGGAGCCUUUGAAACGUGAGCGCUAGCUUACGUGGAGGCGCUGGUGGGAUACUACCCUAGCUGUGUUGGCUUUCUAACCCGCACCACUUAUCGUGGUGGGAGACAGUGUCAGGCGGGCAGUUUGACUGGGGCGGUCGCCUCCUAAAAGGUAACGGAGGCGCUCAAAGGUUCCCUCAGAAUGGUUGGAAAUCAUUCAUAGAGUGUAAAGGCAUAAGGGAGCUUGACUGCGAGACCUACAAGUCGAGCAGGGUCGAAAGACGGACUUAGUGAUCCGGUGGUUCCGCAUGGAAGGGCCAUCGCUCAACGGAUAAAAGCUACCCCGGGGAUAACAGGCUUAUCUCCCCCAAGAGUUCACAUCGACGGGGAGGUUUGGCACCUCGAUGUCGGCUCAUCGCAUCCUGGGGCUGUAGUCGGUCCCAAGGGUUGGGCUGUUCGCCCAUUAAAGCGGUACGCGAGCUGGGUUCAGAACGUCGUGAGACAGUUCGGUCCCUAUCCGUCGUGGGCGUAGGAAAUUUGAGAGGAGCUGUCCUUAGUACGAGAGGACCGGGAUGGACAUACCUCUGGUGUACCAGUUGUCGUGCCAACGGCAUAGCUGGGUAGCUAUGUGUGGACGGGAUAAGUGCUGAAAGCAUCUAAGCAUGAAGC